UUUUAGAACGUCCAAAAUCUUCUUCUUCUCCUACCUUUACAAUUCUUUGUUAAACUCUCUCAACACAGUUUCUAAGAAGUUUUCAAAUCUGACCCGUGAUCAUCUCUUAUCCUUUUUUCUUUAAUCUUCUACAUUAAGUUUUCAAUGUUGUCAUAUAUUUAUUUUUCUGUGUUAUUUGACAUGUCAUUUGGUAGUUAAAAAAAAACAUGAAGAUUGGUGAACUUCAAGAUCAAUGGAGGAUAAAAAUAUGUUCAGGUAUCGAGAUCCAUCUCCAUCCUUGGACAACUUGCUCUUCUUAUUCUACAAGGAGAAGAAGAAAGAGUAUACAAAGAAUAUUGGAGUUUAAGAGAUGGAAUGAAGAAAUUUGAAACAAAAGCAAGAAUGAUGGCUGAAACCUAUGUCGAUUGUGUUUGAUAUGUUGUUUUCUCCCAUUUUUGUAAAUUGUUUUUAACUGUGAUGUAUAAUAGAAAAGUAUAAUGAAAGAUUUUAAUUUUA
Molecule: long non-coding RNA, 495 nt
Organism: Raphanus sativus (radish)
Lineage: Eukaryota; Viridiplantae; Streptophyta; Magnoliopsida; Brassicales; Brassicaceae
Exons: 2
Source: RefSeq, a predicted model, not a curated record